GAAUAGGCCGCGGUUCUCUGACCAACCGCGGCCUAUUCCCCUGUCAAUUUAUUGCAGGGCAGGUGGCAGGGGGAAUAGGCCGCGGUUGGUCAGAGAACCGCGGCCUAUUCCCCCUACCACAUGCUGACAUUCCCCAAAAGGCAGCCCCUGCAAUAAAUUGACAAGGGAAUAGGCCGCGGUUGGUCAGAGAACCGCGGCCUAUUCCCCUGUCAAUUUAUUGCAGGUGCUGACUGAUGGCGAAUGUCAACAGGUUGCAGGGGGAAUAGGUCGCGGUUCUCUGACCAACCGCGGCCUAUUCCACCUGCUGACAUUCCCCAUAAGGCAGUUGGAGGCAGUUGGAGAAUUCUGAACGUUGGGGAAUAGGCCGCGGUUGGCCAGAGAACCGUGGCCUAUGCCCUUGUCUCAGUAAAUUUUAAUAUUUACAGGGUAUAUGUCGCGGUUGGGCGCUGAACCGCGGCAUAUAAGCUACAAAAAAUUUCAAAAAUGCCAUUACAUAUUAUUUUUUUAAAAUGAAUAGGCCGCGGUUGGCUAGAGAACCGCGGCCUAUUCCCCCUUUAUGCCGCGGUUAAGUGUAGAACCGCGGCAGAUUCUCUAUCUGAUAGUUAAAAAAUAUUGAACAGUUUCAUCUUCUUCACUCUUCUGAAUACGAUUUCGCAUUCUUCUCCUCCGCUGCACCCCUGCCAUUGCUACGCUGCAAGCCUUUCGUCUCCGUCCGCCGCGAUUUGUUGGGACCUGCAAAACGUUCGUCUCUGUCUCCGCCGCGAUUUGUUCGGACCUUUCUUCCGUCAUUACGCUAGCACUGCAACUCUCCACCGCUGCAUUCCAAACGCCGCCAUUGCAAUUCACGCCGCCACUACAACUCUCAACCGCUGCAUUCCAGGUACCGCUGCUACCUUCGACUUUAUAUAUUGAUUUUGCGUCUCUGUUUGCUUUGCUUUGAUUAAAUUGAGUGUUUGCUUUGCUUUCUCUGUGUAUUUGCUUCUCGUGCCACCAUUGUUGUUG
This 1002-nucleotide long non-coding RNA is filed under the name Vigna radiata. RNAcentral describes it as "long non-coding RNA (VRAD_LNC001056)". The record is from RNAcentral. Lineage: Eukaryota; Viridiplantae; Streptophyta; Magnoliopsida; Fabales; Fabaceae.